GGUGCGGUAAGAGCGCACCGCGGUUCUGGCAACAGGACUGGCAAGGUAAACCCCGCCUGGAGCAAGACCAAAUAGGGAAAGCAUGAUGGCGUGUCUUCGCGUCGCUUUCCGGGUCGGUCGCGUCAGGUGAUGAGCAAUCAUCAUCGCAGAGGAAUGGUCGCCAAUCCGCGUUUACGUGGUGAACAGAACCCGGCUUACAGGCCAUCUGAUCCU
This 213-nucleotide RNase P RNA is filed under the name Hyphomonadaceae bacterium. RNAcentral's name for it is "partial RNase P RNA component class A". It matches the Rfam family "Bacterial RNase P class A", at positions 161 to 367 of the family's 367-position model. Rfam says of the family: Ribonuclease P (RNase P) is a ubiquitous endoribonuclease, found in archaea, bacteria and eukarya as well as chloroplasts and mitochondria. Its best characterised activity is the generation of mature 5'-ends of tRNAs by cleaving the 5'-leader elements of precursor-tRNAs. Cellular RNase Ps are ribonucleoproteins. The record is from RNAcentral. Lineage: Bacteria; Pseudomonadati; Pseudomonadota; Alphaproteobacteria; Hyphomonadales; Hyphomonadaceae.